Molecule: long non-coding RNA, 1760 nt
Filed under: Canis lupus familiaris (dog)
Lineage: Eukaryota; Metazoa; Chordata; Mammalia; Carnivora; Canidae
Description: lncRNA (ENSCAFG00000052678.1)
Source: RNAcentral
GAUAACUUUUCCAUGGUGGCUCCAAACAUUAACACAGGUAGAAUGUGCCUGGGAGAAACUUGGCUGAGAUCCUCCCCACUAUGCUUAUCUUUGCAGACACAACCUAAUUGGAUCAGAAGGGCCAGGAGCUGGGAGGUAGGAGGAUGGAGUUCUCUGUCACUGUCAGCUCCAUUUCCAUGGAGAUCUAUUCAUUCAUCAAGCACUCAUUUAAGGCUUACAGAGUACCCAGUCUUUGCCAGGCUCAGUGGGGAACAGAAAGACAGCUGAAGCCAGCUUACAAUUUUGCAGACACAUGUAUCUGAAACACACAGUUUGAAAAGAGAACACAGCGCUCUUUAAGGCAAUAUUUAAGACAAGCGUGAAGCAAGACAGUACAGACACAAAGCAUACAAGUCAAAGACCUAGGCUUGUUUAACAAGGCAAUUCAUACAAAGUGCCUAAUACACACCUGGCACAUAGGCAGCAUUCAAUGAAAGUCAGUGCCUUGCCUUCCUGAGUUGUUAUUAUUAAUGCCAAAACUCCCUUUUCAGUAGUCAUAGUCUUUGGGGUUCUGGAAUACAUUUUAAAAAGGAAAAGCAUGUCUGGCCUCUAGAAUCAUAGAUCUUAUUAAUAUCAUGGUGUACAUCCAGUUGACAGAGAAGACAGGGCACUGGUUGUAUAUAGAUAAGGCUCACACAGGAAAUAGAAACACCUUUUCCUGGGGACCACACUUGUCAGUCCUCUCUCAAUUGGGACCCCUUCAAACUCAACCAGGGAAACUCAGGGCUCAUCAAUGCCACUUCCACUCCAAGGAAAAGUAUUUUUCUGAGGGAGAUCUUCCUUGUCUGUGCAUCCUCAACACCUUGUGUGCUCAAUAGUAGAGCUCUCCAAUCAUCCAGGCUCACAUAUGUCCUGCAUGUCAACUAAGAGAAAAGUAACCCUUAUCAGAGAAUAUGCUACAGUUUAUCUGAGGAUGUUUUUUAAGAUGUAAUAAAGUGCAGGAGGAUAAAAGUUGGCUUAAACCUGCAGCAGGGAUCCCUGGGUGGCGCAGCGGUUUGGCGCCUGCCUUUGGCCCAGGGCACGAUCCUGGAGACCCGGGAUCGAAUCCCAUGUCGGGCUCCCGGUGCAUGGAGCCUGCUUCUCCCUCGGCCUGUGUCUCUGCCUCUCUCUCUCUCUCUCUCUCUCUCUGUGUGACUAUCAUAAAUAAAUAAAAAUUUAAAAAAAUAAAAAAAUAAAAAAUAAAUAAACCUGCAGCAGAUCUGACCCCAGACACAUCGAGGCCCAGGGUUGCUCUUCCAACUCUAAAGGAAAUUGUUCUCAAAACUGAGGUCUUAGGCUGCAAAGUGACCCAAUGGUAUAUCUCUGAAUUUCCUCUAUCUUGUAUAGAAUGUGUAGACCUACCCCUUCAUCUCCUAUGCUUUGUCCUAUCACCAUAUUCUAGGAGGGACUUUUCUCUUACGGGCAGACCAAGUAUCACCUUCUCAGCCAGCUGGUUUGUAGGCCCAUGACUUGUACUGGCCCCCCUCUGGCCAUGCUCACAUUCACCUACCCCUCUACAUAGUUGUGAUUCUCUGAGGGUCCAACACAGUGAGUGAGUCUGAAUUAACAGAAAAGAUCUUAGAGUCCGAGGACUGAAUUAAGUGACUACAAAUCAGGAAAUGAGGUCAGCUAAAAUCUGACAUUGAAAAACAGAAGAGGAUAAAAUCAUGAUGAAUUUAAAAUCUUGAUAAAUAAAUUUUAGAUUGUAACACUUUGAAACACAGGAGAACUCCCCUAGUGUA